GCCCAAGAGACUGGGAUAACACCUGGAAACAGAUGCUAAUACCGGAUAACAACACUAGACGCAUGUCUAGAGUUUAAAAGAUGGUUCUGCUAUCACUCUUGGAUGGACCUGCGGUGCAUUAGCUAGUUGGUGAGGUAACGGCUUACCAAGGCAAUGAUGCAUAGCCGAGUUGAGAGACUGAUCGGCCACAUUGGGACUGAGACACGGCCCAAACUCCUACGGAAGGCAGCAG
This 232-nucleotide ribosomal RNA is filed under the name uncultured bacterium. Its description in RNAcentral is "partial 16S ribosomal RNA". It matches the Rfam family "Bacterial small subunit ribosomal RNA", at positions 128 to 354 of the family's 1533-position model. The record is from RNAcentral.